Molecule: long non-coding RNA, 587 nt
Organism: Sebastes umbrosus (honeycomb rockfish)
Lineage: Eukaryota; Metazoa; Chordata; Actinopteri; Perciformes; Sebastidae
Exons: 3
Source: RefSeq, a predicted model, not a curated record
CCAGUGAAGAAACAGAAAUCCAUUGCAAGGCUUGAGAAGAACAGGAGGAAGAAUACAGGGGCGACAGCAAUGAGGGCAGCAGCAUUUCCAGUGAGGGACGAUCAUCAGGGAGAACCCAAGUGACACCAGCUUUUAAGAGGACUCCAGAAGAAGCAGCAUCCCAACACAAGAUACUGAGAGAGAGAGGAAGAUGACUCCACUAUUCCCAAACGUCUCUGCCACAACUCUACCCACCUGCACACCUGUAUGUGCCACAAUGGUUCUCUGUGGUUUGAAUCACCUGGAUCAUGGAUUCUGAUUUUGGCUGUAUUCCUUUGUGUGGACUUGGUACAUUUUCCAUGUUGGUGUUCGUUUACUUUAGUUGCUAAAGUUUGCACUAACAGUACAAAAAUAUAUUCUCACUUUUCCAGUAUGAAGUAUGCAAAAUCUCACACAGAACCAUGUAUUUGUUUGUACUUUCCUGUUGAAGCUAAAAAAUUAAACUAUUGCUAUAACUUUGAAGUUGUUCUGAUGAUGCAAAAGGACACAUCUGUCUCUCUCCCUCCCCCAUCUCUCUAGCUCUCUCUGUCCCUCCCCUCCCUCUCUCC